RNAcentral lists this ribosomal RNA (801 nucleotides) under uncultured bacterium. RNAcentral describes it as "bacterial SSU rRNA". It matches the Rfam family "Bacterial small subunit ribosomal RNA", at positions 8 to 798 of the family's 1533-position model. The record is from RNAcentral.
AGAGUUUGAUCCUGGCUCAGAUUGAACGCUGGCGGCAUGCUUUACACAUGCAAGUCGGACGGCAGCACAGGGAAGCUUGCUUCUUGGGUGGCGAGUGGCGAACGGGUGAGUAACAUAUCGGAACGUACCGAGCAGUGGGGGAUAACUAAUCGAAAGAUUAGCUAAUACCGCAUAUUUUCUGAGGAAGAAAGCAGGGGACCUUUGGGCCUUGCGCUGUUUGAGCGGCCGAUAUCUGAUUAGCUAGUUGGUGGGGUAAAGGCCUACCAAGGCGACGAUCAGUAGCGGGUCUGAGAGGAUGAUCCGCCACACUGGGACUGAGACACGGCCCAGACUCCUACGGGAGGCAGCAGUGGGGAAUUUUGGACAAUGGGCGCAAGCCUGAUCCAGCCAUGCCGCGUGUCUGAAGAAGGCCUUCGGGUUGUAAAGGACUUUUGUCAGGGAAGAAAAGGGCGGGGUUAAUACCCCUGUCUGAUGACGGUACCUGAAGAAUAAGCACCGGCUAACUACGUGCCAGCAGCCGCGGUAAUACGUAGGGUGCGAGCGUUAAUCGGAAUUACUGGGCGUAAAGCGGGCGCAGACGGUUACUUAAGCAGGAUGUGAAAUCCCCGGGCUCAACCUGGGAACUGCGUUCUGAACUGGGUGACUAGAGUGUGUCAGAGGGAGGUAGAAUUCCACGUGUAGCAGUGAAAUGCGUAGAGAUGUGGAGGAAUACCGAUGGCGAAGGCAGCCUCCUGGGAUAACACUGACGUUCAUGCCCGAAAGCGUGGGUAGCAAACAGGAUUAGAUACCCCGGUAGUCCAA